AUAGUUACCUCGCAGUGGAGACACCAUGAUCACGUAGGUGAUUUUCCCAGUGUGAGGCUUAUCCAUUGCACUUGGGAUGUGCUGACCCUUGCGACUUCCCCAAGCAUGGGAAACUCUACUGCAUAAUUUGUGGUAGUGGGGGACUGCAUCCGCACUCUCCCCUG
Sorex fumeus (smoky shrew) is the source of this 164-nucleotide small nuclear RNA. RefSeq annotates it as U1 spliceosomal RNA. NCBI's taxonomy places the organism in Eukaryota, Metazoa, Chordata, Mammalia, Eulipotyphla, Soricidae. The transcript has a single exon. The record is from RefSeq and is a predicted model, not a curated record.